UUAAGCGACUAAGCGUACACGGUGGAUGCCCUGGCAGUCAGAGGCGAUGAAGGACGUGCUAAUCUGCGAUAAGCGUCGGUAAGGUGAUAUGAACCGUUAUAACCGGCGAUUUCCGAAUGGGGAAACCCAGUGUGAUUCGUCACACUAUCAUUAACUGAAUCCAUAGGUUAAUGAGGCGAACCGGGGGAACUGAAACAUCUAAGUACCCCGAGGAAAAGAAAUCAACCGAGAUUCCCCCAGUAGCGGCGAGCGAACGGGGAGCAGCCCAGAGCCUGAAUCAGUGUGUGUGUUAGUGGAAGCGUCUGGAAAGGCGCGCGAUACAGGGUGACAGCCCCGUACACAAAAAUGCACAUGCUGUGAGCUCGAUGAGUAGGGCGGGACACGUGGUAUCCUGUCUGAAUAUGGGGGGACCAUCCUCCAAGGCUAAAUACUCCUGACUGACCGAUAGUGAACCAGUACCGUGAGGGAAAGGCGAAAAGAACCCCGGCGAGGGGAGUGAAAAAGAACCUGAAACCGUGUACGUACAAGCAGUGGGAGCACGCUUAGGCGUGUGACUGCGUACCUUUUGUAUAAUGGGUCAGCGACUUAUAUUCUGUAGCAAGGUUAACCGAAUAGGGGAGCCGAAGGGAAACCGAGUCUUAACUGGGCGUUAAGUUGCAGGGUAUAGACCCGAAACCCGGUGAUCUAGCCAUGGGCAGGUUGAAGGUUGGGUAACACUAACUGGAGGACCGAACCGACUAAUGUUGAAAAAUUAGCGGAUGACUUGUGGCUGGGGGUGAAAGGCCAAUCAAACCGGGAGAUAGCUGGUUCUCCCCGAAAGCUAUUUAGGUAGCGCCUCGUGAAUUCAUCUCCGGGGGUAGAGCACUGUUUCGGCAAGGGGGUCAUCCCGACUUACCAACCCGAUGCAAACUGCGAAUACCGGAGAAUGUUAUCACGGGAGACACACGGCGGGUGCUAACGUCCGUCGUGAAGAGGGAAACAACCCAGACCGCCAGCUAAGGUCCCAAAGUCAUGGUUAAGUGGGAAACGAUGUGGGAAGGCCCAGACAGCCAGGAUGUUGGCUUAGAAGCAGCCAUCAUUUAAAGAAAGCGUAAUAGCUCACUGGUCGAGUCGGCCUGCGCGGAAGAUGUAACGGGGCUAAACCAUGCACCGAAGCUGCGGCAGCG
This 1166-nucleotide ribosomal RNA is filed under the name Escherichia coli 3-267-03_S4_C2. Its description in RNAcentral is "bacterial LSU rRNA". It matches the Rfam family "Bacterial large subunit ribosomal RNA", at positions 1 to 1210 of the family's 2925-position model. The record is from RNAcentral. Lineage: Bacteria; Pseudomonadati; Pseudomonadota; Gammaproteobacteria; Enterobacterales; Enterobacteriaceae.